GAUGAAGAACGUAGUGAAAUGCGAUAAGUAAUGUGAAUUGCAGAAUUCAGUGAAUCAUCGAAUCUUUGAACGCACAUUGCGCCCGCCAGUAUUCUGGCGGGCAUGCCUGUUCGAGCGUCAUUACAACCCUCAAGCCCCCCGGCUUGGUGUUGGGGACCGGCCACCGGUGCCCUGCUGCUUCCGCGGCAGGCGCACCCGGCCGCCCCCGAAAUGAAUUGGCGGCCCCGUCGCGGCCUCCCUCUGCGUAGUAGCACACAUCUCGCAGCUGGAGCGCGGCGCGGCCACUGCCGUAAAACGCACCAACUUUUUUUACAGUUGACCUCGAAUCAGGUAGGAAUACCCGCUGAACUUAAGCAUAUCAAAAGCGGAGGA
RNAcentral lists this unclassified non-coding RNA (372 nucleotides) under soil metagenome. Its description in RNAcentral is "partial contains 5.8S ribosomal RNA, internal transcribed spacer 2, and large subunit ribosomal RNA". The stretch from base 1 to 120 matches the Rfam family "5.8S ribosomal RNA", at positions 35 to 154 of the family's 154-position model. The record is from RNAcentral.